AGCGAACGCUGGCGGCAGGCUUAACACAUGCAAGUCGAGCGGGCGUAGCAAUACGUCAGCGGCAGACGGGUGAGUAACGCGUGGGAACGUACCUUUUGGUUCGGAACAACACAGGGAAACUUGUGCUAAUACCGGAUAAGCCCUUACGGGGAAAGAUUUAUCGCCGAAAGAUCGGCCCGCGUCGGAUGAGCUGGGUGGUGAGGUAACGGCUCACCAAGGCGACGAUCAGUAGCUGGUCUGAGAGGAUGAUCAGCCACAUUCGGACUGAGACACAGCCCAAACUCCUACGGGAGGCAGCAGUGGGGAAUAUUGGACAAUGGGGGUAACCCUGCUCCAGCCAUGCCGCGUGAGUGAUGAAGACCCUAGGGUUGUAGAGCUCUUUUGUGCGGGAAGAUAAUGACGGUACCGAAAGAAUAAGCCCCGGCUAACUUCGUGCAAGCCGCCGCGGUAA
This 451-nucleotide ribosomal RNA is filed under the name uncultured bacterium. RNAcentral describes it as "partial 16S ribosomal RNA". It matches the Rfam family "Bacterial small subunit ribosomal RNA", at positions 29 to 523 of the family's 1533-position model. The record is from RNAcentral.